This is a non-coding RNA of Stegodyphus mimosarum, 73 nucleotides long. NCBI's taxonomy places the organism in Eukaryota, Metazoa, Arthropoda, Arachnida, Araneae, Eresidae. The record is from Rfam.
GCCUUCGUGGUGUAAUGGUCAGCACACUGAGCCGGUAUUUCAGAGGUCCGCGGUUCGAUUCCCGGCGAAGGAA